UGGGGAAUUUUGGACAAUGGGGGCAACCCUGAUCCAGCAAUGCCGCGUGAGUGAUGAAGGCCUUAGGGUUGUAAAGCUCUUUUACCAGGGAUGAUAAUGACAGUACCUGGAGAAUAAGCUCCGGCUAACUCCGUGCCAGCAGCCGCGGUAAUACGGAGGGAGCUAGCGUUGUUCGGAAUUACUGGGCGUAAAGCGUACGUAGGCGGUGACUCAAGUCAGAGGUGAAAGCCUGGAGCUCAACUCCAGAACUGCCUUUGAAACUAGGUCGCUAGAAUCACGGAGAGGUGAGUGGAAUUCCGAGUGUAGAGGUGAAAUUCGUAGAUAUUCGGAAGAACACCAGUGGCGAAGGCGGCUCACUGGACGUGUAUUGACGCUGAGGUACGAAAGCGUGGGGAGCAAACAGGAUUAGAUACCCCAGUAGUCCCUGAGCGGGCUGGCAAGGCGCAU
This 447-nucleotide ribosomal RNA is filed under the name uncultured bacterium. Its description in RNAcentral is "bacterial SSU rRNA". It matches the Rfam family "Bacterial small subunit ribosomal RNA", at positions 355 to 825 of the family's 1533-position model. The record is from RNAcentral.